GUCUAUGGCCAUGCCACCCUGAACAAGCCCAAUCCUGUCUGAUCUCGGAAGCUAAGCAGGGUCGGGCCUGGUUAGUACUUGGAUGGGAGACCACCUAGGAAAACCAGGUGCUAUAGGCA
RNAcentral lists this ribosomal RNA (119 nucleotides) under Pteropus alecto (black flying fox). The record is from RNAcentral. Lineage: Eukaryota; Metazoa; Chordata; Mammalia; Chiroptera; Pteropodidae.